GGGGAUGUUCCGGUUUCGACAGGAAUGAUUUACUAAUAUUGGCAGUAGUUUGGCAGACUAUAAUGCUACUAGGUUUGAAGAAACGCAAACAAAAAACAAAAAAGAAGACAAAAUUAAAAUUCCAGUUUCGUUGAUGAACAAUCAACUACCAGGUUCAAUGUUAGCAGCUUAAUUCCUCGUUGUUAGAGGAUUGCUAGCCGUAAUAAUAGUUAAUUAUAGAUUAUUAACUAUUAUCGUAUCUCAAGUCUUAAUCUAAUAAAAAUUCUAAUUGAUAAUGUUAGAAUUUUGAAAAUCUUAUUAUCUAGUUAUUUAAUUAGUUGUCUAGUCCUAUUAUUAAAUAAUGAAAGAAAGAUGAUUAGACUAAACUGUAGAAGGUAUUAGAACAUUAUUUGUGGACGCGGGUUCAAUUCCCGCCAUCUCCACCA
RNAcentral lists this transfer-messenger RNA (425 nucleotides) under Spiroplasma citri. Its description in RNAcentral is "Standard tmRNA". It matches the Rfam family "transfer-messenger RNA". Rfam says of the family: Bacterial tmRNA, also known as 10Sa RNA or SsrA, is named for its dual tRNA and mRNA-like properties. Its role is to liberate the mRNA from a stalled ribosome. The record is from RNAcentral. Lineage: Bacteria; Bacillati; Mycoplasmatota; Mollicutes; Entomoplasmatales; Spiroplasmataceae.